Molecule: long non-coding RNA, 2042 nt
Organism: Myotis lucifugus (little brown bat)
Lineage: Eukaryota; Metazoa; Chordata; Mammalia; Chiroptera; Vespertilionidae
Exons: 4
Source: RefSeq, a predicted model, not a curated record
GGAGUUCCUUAGCCCGAGAACUCGACCCCUAUGUUCCUGGAAACAGUCGUGUGACCUUCUGUACAACACUUCUCAACAAGCCCCCUUUUCUCACGUUAAAAACGAGAAGUCAUCUUGUCUGAGUGUCCGAAGACGCGGAAGGUGCGCUGACUUGGGCUCCCUAGGGAUGCUGACGUGGAGACAGGCGCUGGAUGGAAGAAGCCAGUCCCACCCUAACAGCUGGCGGGAUCAGCACUGUUGUCCUGAGAUCUGUGGCUGAUAGAGAAGCCCGGGGUGGCCUGGUGAGGGCCCCACAGGCCGCCGCCUGGUGAGAGGGAAGAUACCCCGGAAACAUCCCCUGUGGGCUGACCUGUCCCGGGAGCCCAGCAGACAGCUGAACCGAAAACUCCCUGACCACCAGGAGAUUUGGGUGUCUGGGGGUGCACGGAAGCGCCCCGGAGACCUCAGACAUGCGCCAGUCCCUUGAGAAGCAGGUAUCAGAAUGUGAGCCUCGCACCCCAAGAGCGCGAUUCCUUUGGGUGAGGAUGGAUUUGACAGCAGAUACAUAGGCCUUUGUUUGUUUGUUUCAACCAACGCUGAGGUGUCACCUUCCCCUUUCACCCCUCCGUUCCCGCCUCCCCGGGUCCCUCGUACAGGCCCCACACACGGAUUUUCAUUUUCAACACGUAGCGCCCGACUGAGGGAUCUGAGCUCACCGGCUCAGAAAACGGGAAAGGUCAGUCUGACUAACACCUCGCCUGGCGUCCUGGGAUCAGCAUCCAAGAGCAACAGAUCCGAGAUGGGCUGCAGGCUCCCGGGAGACCGGCGAUUCCCACGUGAAUGUUGGCUGUUUCCCUGGAGGCCAGGUGGGAGGUGGGCAGACAGGUCUAUGGAGAUGAGGAGUUCUUGGAGCUGGAACUCUCUGAACAUCCCCAUGGCCUUGCAGCUGGGAGGCGGACACGGAGCAGCAGGAAUGUGGGUUGAAUGAGGGCCAGGAAGCAGCAAUCACGUGACAUGUCAGCGGCUGGCCCAACGUCCACGGUCCAAGGAAGGAUGAGUGUGACUGACGUCUUGGCGUUAGCUUUUCCCAAGAGCGAGCUCUUAAAAAUAACUCUCCCGAGUGCAUGUGGCUGAGAGACCCCGCCACCUUAUUUCCCCCGUCUCUGUCCCUCGCUCCUUCUCCUUCGAUUUCAGCAAGAACCCUGUUUGUGCGGCUCCAACUCCCCACACUCGGACUUCUCUCCCUCCACUCUGAAAGGCGAAGACUCAGUUGGAAAACCUUGGAUGCAGAAUGGCUCGGAGUCACCCAGUGUCCUGUCUGGGUGUCACAGAAGCUGCGUCCCUCUGAGAAAGACCGUGUCAUGAGGGCGCUUUCAAUGUUUUCCAAAGAGCUCGUCCUGUGGUUGGAUUUGUUGGUUCCAGGAUCUCUGGACUUAGGCCAAGGAACGUUAUUAUGGAUCUAACCCACAGUGACAUCUGGAUUCAGAACCUCUGGGUUCUCUCCCCCCCACCACCCCCCCUCGAUCAAUUUGCUCUGUGACCUCAGAAAAGCUACACCCCAUCUCUGGGCUUCAGUGACAUCUCCUACUCAAAGGCGGUUCUUCAUCAAAAUUCAGCACAUACUCAUUCUUUCUUUUCUCUCUCCCAAGGCUGGGGGGCUUCCCUUAGAGACCCCCCCAACAUGCUCUCUUAUGGAGGAGUCUGCUAGGAGUGAGUCCAAAGGAGCUUAGAGUGAGGGAAGGGUUGGAAGUGGCCAAGAGCUUUUUAGGCUGAAAGGUGACAGCCCCUUUGCCUUUAAGGAAUCCCAUGCCUUACCCUAGCCACAGAGAAGUGCUCCUCAUCUGUGAGGCACCCACCCUGGCACUUUCGGGGUGUAGGGUUUGUAUGGCAGCCACUACGGAAAAUCUGUCUGAGCUGGAGGCGAGGGAUGAGCCAGCCUGGAAUGCUCCCACAGUCACAGCCGUGUUUACAGGAGAGCAUAUGGAUGGAGUUUAGCUUUGAUACAUUCCCAUCACUUUUUACAGAACGAUUUUCCAGCCAAUAAAAGACAUACCUUAACCACU